Osmerus eperlanus (European smelt) is the source of this 756-nucleotide long non-coding RNA. RefSeq lists it as uncharacterized. The record is from RefSeq and is a predicted model, not a curated record. The transcript is spliced from 3 exons. Lineage: Eukaryota; Metazoa; Chordata; Actinopteri; Osmeriformes; Osmeridae.
CGCUGGGUUGCUGGAUAGGAGCCUUUGCGUUCUCAGCGAACACAAUGACGCGUAUUUGAGAUGUUAGAAAUUACUUCAUUCCAUAGAUGGGGAAGAUUAAUGAAGAUAGAGAGAACUGAAUAGACUUAUUUUAAGCCUACGUUUUUGUUUUUAAUAUAUAGCUUUAUAUUCCUUCAGUUGGCUACGUGGGAAUUGUAAAGGGACGCGAUAACAAAAACAUUUCGCAAUCCAUUUUACAUGCAGUUGAGCGCGCGGAAUAGACAGGGACAAUUUCCGAAUGAUUCUCACUUUAUUAUAGGCCUACUCUUACGUCCUGCUGAAGAAGAGUAUUGGUCUGAUUGUCCGGUUGACAUUUCAAUGGUGAUAAGUGGGAAAGGCAUUUCUUUACAAUAUUUUGCUACCACUUCUCAGUGCAAGAUGUUUUGAUUGCCGAGGGCUAAAAGAGCAAAACGGCUGGUGUCGUGUGGAAUUGUACUGUCUGCUCAGACAGCUGCAACGUCUGCAAUAGAAUUUGCGAGAAAAACCAACAGGGAAGAAUCUUCAAUUACGGAAUACAAUGACUAUGUCCGUCCCGGAGAGGAAUUCGGGGUCGGAGGGAAAGGAGGAGGAGAGCGAGGAUGAGAGCGAGAUCCUGGAGGAAAGCCCAUGCGGACGCUGGCAAAAACGGAAAGAGCAGCUGCCUGGACUCUGGCUGUGCCCUGUACAGCAGAUGUACUAUGGUUGUAAUCAGGGGUAAUGUCCCAGGUGUGGAGAGCG